CGGGCGGCUGGGAGCGGCUGGGAGCGGCGGCGGCGGAGGGAGCUGGGGCGCUGCCGCCCGGCCGAUCGGUGUUCUGCCACCGUGCAAGGCAGACGGAGCUCGCAGGCAGCUGUGGUGCAGCAGAGGAGCUGCAGCUGGCAGAUACCCGAAGUUGCCCGCUUCUCUGUGCCUCUCGGUGUUACAUGCGAUAAACGCGUGCGGAAACCAGACCUCAGGUAUUCUAGAUGAAAGGCAACAAGAAAACGAGCAACGUAACGUGAAUCAAGUGAAUUUCUGCUUCUGUUGGGUUCUAGGCUAAUCUGGUUGAGAAUAAGACUCAGAUUCUGAAGUGUUUGAGGAACUUGCUACUGCCCAAGUCAUGACACUCCCAUUUCGAAAGGACUUGGACAAAUACAAAGAUCUUGAUGAGGAUGAAAUUCUUGGCAAACUGUCAGAAGAAGAACUGAAACAACUGGAAACAGUUUUGGAUGACCUUGACCCAGAGAAUGCACUUCUGCCCGCGGGCUUCCGACAGAAAGACCAGACUGCUAAAAAGGCUUCAGGUCCUUUCGACAGAGAACGACUCCUUGCCUAUUUGGAGAAGCAGGCUCUUGAGCACAAAGACAGGGAAGACUAUGUGCCUUUUACAAAAGAAAAGAAAGGGAAAAUAUUUAUUCCCAAGCAAAAGCCUGUACAGUCGUAUACGGAAGAAAAAAUUGCUCUUGAUCCAGAACUGGAGGAAGCCUUGACUAGUGCCACAGACACAGAACUGUGUGACCUUGCAGCUAUACUGGGAAUGUCCAACUUGAUAACAAACAAUCAGUUCUGUGAUGUAGUAGGAAGCAGUAAUGGGGUAGACAAAGACAGCUUCUCAAAUAUAGUAAAAGGUGAAAAAAUGUUACCUGUUUUUGAUGAACCGCCAAAUCCCACAAAUGUAGAGGAGACUUUGCAAAGGAUUAAAGAUAAUGAUUCCCGUCUUGUUGAAGUUAAUCUAAAUAAUAUUAAGAACAUACCAAUUCCAACGCUGAAAGAAUUUGCAAAAGCCCUAGAAACCAACACGCAUGUGAAGAAUUUUAGCCUUGCGGCCACCCGAAGCAAUGAUCCUGUUGCUGUUGCUCUUGCAGAUAUGCUGAGAGUAAACACAAAAUUAAGAAGUUUAAACAUAGAAUCGAACUUCAUCACUGGAGUUGGAAUUCUGGCACUGGUUGAUGCACUGAAAGACAAUGAAACAUUGACAGAGAUCAAAAUUGAUAAUCAGAGGCAGCAGUUGGGCACGCUUGCAGAAGUAGAAAUUGCCAAAAUGCUUGAAGAAAACACCAAGAUCCUUAAAUUUGGAUACCAUUUCACACAACAGGGACCUCGAGCCAGGGCAGCUGCAGCUAUAACAAAAAAUAAUGAUUUGGUCUGGAGUAUACGAGUAAAAGUUUCUGCAAAUACCUUUUCGUCUCUCCAGCCCUGAAGCUACAGAGACAGGUUACUCUGAGUACCCAGUUGGGUGUCAAGCGCUGAAAACUGAGAUGUUCAAAGCCUCUCAUUUCUGUCUUUUUCGGAAGAGAAGAGUUGAAGGAGACAGCCAGUAGAUCUUGUUGUUAAAUUGUUAAAACUACAUGGAGAUUUCAAGGGUCUUCAAGGCAUGCUCCUCACUGUGGGCUUUGGCAAUCUUGGACUACAUUUACUUAGGUUAGAAGGGAAAAGACUGGAAACCCCAUUCCUUUUAAAGCAAAGCUAUAUUAAAAAUCUGCUGGUAUAUACCACAUUUUUCAGAUUGACACAUUGUAACUGCGCCAGUCUCUGUACCAUAGUUUUUGGUUGUUUUUUUUUCUAAAAGAACUUUUUUGUAUUUCAGGACCUUGGCUGUGCUUUCUUCUUAAAAUGUAAUCACGAAUCAGUGGUAUAAUUGUCUGUAGCCAAAGAAUGGGACAUUCAAGAUCAUUGGGCAGAUAAUGACCCAAUUGAAAUGGUUGUCAGAAAAUCUAGGGGUGCUUAUUUACAUGGAGGGGUGUGUAUAUUCUUGAGAACAAUGCUUUAGUAACGAGGGAUUCAUCACACAAUAGUUGGACUCAUUGUGUAGAGCUGUUCAUCCUUGUUCAUAUGCACUGAAGAGAAAUCUUUCACAACUUUUAUUUGUGAUUCUUUUUUAUUUUUGAUUCAUUCUUGGUACUGUGAUUAAGUGUAAACAUCCCUUAAAAGCAAGCAAAAAUAAAUUGUCUAAAGACCUUUUUCCCAAGAGAUUUGAGUGACCGAUUAAAAAAAAAAAAAAAAAGAAAAAAAAUGGGAGCCUUGC
RNA transcript from Cygnus olor (mute swan), 2263 nucleotides. It is a transcript of the gene named tropomodulin-3, with no coding region annotated. NCBI's taxonomy places the organism in Eukaryota, Metazoa, Chordata, Aves, Anseriformes, Anatidae. The record is from RefSeq and is a predicted model, not a curated record. The transcript has 12 exons.